UCUUCCCUCUGUCGGCGUGCCUAACACAUGCAAGUCGAGCGGCAGCGAGGGGUGCUUGCACCCUGUCGGCGAGCGGCGGACGGCUGAGUAACGCGUGGGAACGUGCCCCAAAGUGAGGAAUAACUGCCCGAAAGGGUAGCUAAUACCGCAUAUUAUCUUCGGAUCAAAGGAUUUAUCCGCUUUGGGAGCGGCUCGCGUCGGAUUAGGUAGUUGGUGAGGUAAUGGCUCACCAAGCCGACGAUCCGUAGCUGGUCUGAGAGGAUGACCAGCCAGACUGGAACUGAGACACGGUCCAGACUCCUACGGGAGGCAGCAGUGAGGAAUCUUCCACAAUGGGCGAAAGCAUGAUGGAGCAACGCCGCGUGCAGGACGAAGGCCUUCGGGUUGUAAACUGCUUUUAUAAGUGAGGAAUAUGACGGUAACUUAUGAAUAAGGAUCGGCUAACUACGUG
This 451-nucleotide ribosomal RNA is filed under the name uncultured bacterium. Its description in RNAcentral is "partial 16S ribosomal RNA". It matches the Rfam family "Bacterial small subunit ribosomal RNA", at positions 36 to 507 of the family's 1533-position model. The record is from RNAcentral.